AAGCUGAUGCCAAAACCCAGCUAGCUUCUAAACUGCAACAUCGCCGCCACCUAUCCCCUCACCCACUCAUAAUUCUCACGUUUUCCUUUCCCUACACACUACCCCCUCCAGACGUCUCCCUCUCACAUUUCCCACUCCUUCUUUUCUCUCUCACCUCACGUUUCCCUCACUCUGCAUGCCACCUAUCACCAUUAAAUGACACAACCCACUCAUAUAUGCCUCCUCUCUCCACCACCUCUCUGCUGCGAAAAAAGAAAACAAAAAAAAAGAAAUUAAAAAGAUUAUUGUUUCCUUUUCUUCAUUUCCCAUCUCCACCACACCUUCCGCUCUUCACCUUGUAAAACCCUCCCAAUUUCAUCUCCAACCUUUGACCUUCCAACUUACAGAUC
RNAcentral lists this long non-coding RNA (389 nucleotides) under Lathyrus oleraceus (garden pea). Its description in RNAcentral is "Pisum sativum (pea) long non-coding RNA (PSAT_LNC017542)". The record is from RNAcentral. Lineage: Eukaryota; Viridiplantae; Streptophyta; Magnoliopsida; Fabales; Fabaceae.